AUGCUAGAUUUGCUGGCUGAAUAUCGAGAUGUAUCUCAGUGUGUUGAAACAUCUAUUGUUGGAAACACCCCAACUGUUCCUAAUGGUGGUGUGGAUGAAAUUUUGGGCGUGUUUGAGCAAUACUUGUCUUCACAACCUGUCGCUCCUUCUCCAGUUCGCACUGAAUUGGACAUGUACUUGGAUGAGCCCCUUAUUCAUAGAACAACAGAUUUUGACAUUAUUAAUUGGUGGAAAGUUGGAGGUGCCAAGUACCCUACUUUGCAGAAGAUUGCUCAUGAUAUAUUACCCAUCCCUAUUACAUCUAUGGCAUCAGAGUCAGUCUUUAAUACUAGUGGGAGGUUACUUAGUGUACAUCGCAAUCGGCUUACACCAAGCAUGGUUGAAGCUCUUAUGUGUAUGCAAGCUUGGUCACGAGCGGACAUGUUAGGUGGUAUCAACUUCGCUCUACAAGCAGUUCAAAAUGUUCUUGAUGAUGAAGAAGAAGUGAUGGAUGAAAAUGAGUCCAUCAUUACUGAAGACUAA
This 522-nucleotide ribosomal RNA is filed under the name Triticum aestivum (bread wheat). Its description in RNAcentral is "partial small subunit ribosomal RNA". Lineage: Eukaryota; Viridiplantae; Streptophyta; Magnoliopsida; Poales; Poaceae. The record is from RNAcentral.